Long non-coding RNA from Panicum virgatum (switchgrass), 2212 nucleotides. RefSeq lists it as uncharacterized. NCBI's taxonomy places the organism in Eukaryota, Viridiplantae, Streptophyta, Magnoliopsida, Poales, Poaceae. The transcript is spliced from 2 exons. The record is from RefSeq and is a predicted model, not a curated record.
ACACCAAUCUGCCCUUAUCUCUCUCCCGUCCUCACCGCUGCUCCAACCCACACGCGAUUCCUCCAACGCCGCGCCGAUCUCCAUCCCCACCUUGGGACUCCAGGCCUCCCCAUCGAUGUCCGUCGCCGCCCGUCCCCAUCCCCCGUCCGCGGCCGCCCAUCCCCGUCCCUUACCGUGGCACCGGCGAGCGGGCAUGGCCCCUUGGCACCUGAUCCGUUUCCGCGCGACCGGCGGGCCGAGCUUGCGGCCGUGCCGGCGCCGCCCGUCCCUCGCUGUACUCCACAAUGGUGCCUGCCGUUCCCGCCCAGGCCUCUCCUCACCGGAGCUCGCGGCCACCCUCGCCUAGGCGGCCAUCGCGGCCGUCGCGUCUCGCGUCCCCACCCGGGCGGCCUUCAGCACUGAGGCACCGCCCGUCCUGCCCGGGUGCCCCUCCCCUCCCUUGCCAGCGCGGCGGGACCUGGCCCUCGUUGGCGCCCCUUCCCGCCCAGGCUGGAGCCGCGCGUACCGGCCUAGGCCGGCGACGCCCGUCGCCGUCCGGCAAUCGCUGUCUGCCCUCGCCGCGCGCCCAUCCCCGCAGAGGCACUGUCCAAGCCGAGUCACCUGCCCCCACCCUUGCAAGGCCAGGCACGAGCACAACUCGUCACUGUUCAGGUGAGCACUUCCAUGGAUCCACAAGAGGAGCACGACGAGUGGUUCAACUACGACUACAAUGCUGCUUCUGUGACGAACCUUGGCCUGACUUGAUGAUUGCUUCCUAUUUCACAUUUUGCACAAGACAAGUGGAGAAAGUCUAAAUGUUUGCAUAUAUUUUGAUUCUUGCAUGUUCUCCUGUUCUGUCAUAAAUUAUAUAGUAUAUAUUUUUAUGCCUUGCUGAUCCGAUUGAUGGAUUGAUCUGAAAAGUUUUAUGCUGUCCAUAAGUCAAAAGGCUAUGUUUCAUCAUUCUUACUUCGUUGAAUUUAUCCAAUUCAUGCUUAUCACAUCCACAUAGAACUGAACAUGCAGCUUGUUUACUUCAGUUCAAUUUUUUGCUCCUGAUCAUAUAUGAUUGUUUAAUUCAGAUUUGAGUGUUGGAAUUUUCUUUUUGGGGAAUCAAUAUUUCGGAGAAUGUGCAGAAACUUGUCCAGUAGUGUUCUUUUAGUUCUGUCUAGUAUGAAUUCUCCAAAUUACACUUCCUACAAUUAAAAUAUAAUCAUAACUCAUACUACUUUCCUUUCUUCUCUUUACUUGACCAAAGAAACAUCUAUUCCUGAUAGAGUGGCGCUGGUGAUUUACUUUUGUCUAAUAAAAAGGUUAUCAGCUGGUUGCUUGUUUUUUAAGAAUAAUGGCAAAUAAUCUACUAUUAGCUCAUUAUAUGUCGAUAUAUGGGCCUAGUGUCUAUGAUUUAGAUGGAUUUCUAUUGGAAUUAGUGUGAAGAUGAUAGUAGUUACAAGCAAUUAUAAAACCAGGAAGCAGAAGGAUGGCACCCCAAGAUGCUUCUUCUUAGUUAAUGAUUCCAAACAAAAAGAGGCACUCCUUAGCUAAAUCUUUGAAAAAUGUAUAUUAGUCAUUAUAUGUUUAAUUUAUUAAAGAUUAAUGUUGCGCAAUUCUACCGCUCUAUAAUGCAAUUACAUUUCUCUUUCUUUCAAUUUGAUGCACAUACAAAGAAUUCAAGUAAAGGUAGGAUAACAAUAAAAACAAAAGGUAGGUAAGAAGGAUAUUUUUUCAUUCAUUGUAGUGAUAUUUUUACCUUAUAUUAUUUCAUAUCUUAUUUCAGAUGAUAAGAAUCAACAAUUAGGAUUUGCAAUCUACCAUUAGGAUGGACGAACAUAAUAGUAAUUAAUCUAACUCCAUGAUCUUAACAUAAAUAAUGCUCGUUUGUCGCUUAGUGACUAUGUCAAUUGAAGUGUCUGGGUCCAUAACUUAAGGCUGCUGCCAUACUGAGGUCUAUCGUUAGUGGGGUCAUCAAAAACUAGCGAUGCUCUUACCAAAGGUUUGAGUUACCAUAACUGAAUUCUUAUAUUGAUGGGUAAACGAAUGGAUCCAGAAGCAACGAAUUUCAAGAAUACUAUAUAUUUAUAUUUUGCUUUUCAGUAGUGGAGGUUUGUACUGUGCACUAUUUAUUUUUGCUCUUUGUAAUCAUAUUGUUAUGUAUAUAGACUAUCAUAUGAUGUGAACCAGUACUACAAUUGAAACUUUCCUACAAUCAAUGCAAGGUCCUAUGUUUUUUGGAAUA